This 877-nucleotide ribosomal RNA is filed under the name Bostrychia hamana-tokidae. RNAcentral describes it as "LSU rRNA". It matches the Rfam family "Eukaryotic large subunit ribosomal RNA", at positions 1294 to 2158 of the family's 3401-position model. Lineage: Eukaryota; Rhodophyta; Florideophyceae; Ceramiales; Rhodomelaceae. The record is from RNAcentral.
CUGCCGAAUGAAUUAGCCCUGAAAAUGGAUGGCGCUAAAGCGAGUAGCCGACACCAUGCCGUCUGUAAAAAAUUGGAGUGAAAGUUACAGAUGAGUAGGAGGAACGUGGCGGUCGUAUUGAAGCGUAUGCGCAAGCAUGCGUGGAACGGCCGCUAGUGCAGAUCUUGGUGGUAGUAGCAAAUAUUCAAAUGAAAACCUUGAAGGGCGAAGCGGGGAAGGGUUCCACGCGAACAUUGAUUGAGCGUGGGUGAGUCGUUCCUAAGCCGUCUGGUAAUUUGCUAGACACACGGCGAAAGGGAAGCAGGUUGAUAUUCCUGCACACGGAUGUGGAUAUGCGGUGACGCACACUGGGGCGGUGAAGUCGUUGGUUGCACUGGGCAGAGAUUUCUUUUCUGUUUGACGGAGCCAGACUGUACUCUAUGGAAUCCGCUUGUCGGGAGAAAUAGGUAUGUCAUGGCAAAGCGCCGGGUUUUUUUCUGGCGUCCAGUUUGCGACUAGCGGACCUUGAAAAGCUGUCUGCUGGCAAAAUGCACUUGUUGUAUUUUGUGUGAAAAAAUCCACGCCGUAACGUACCCAUAACCGCAUCAGGUCCCCAAGGUGAACAGCCUCUGCUCUAUAUGAAAAAUGCAGGUGAGGGAAGUCGGCAAAUUAGACCCGUAACUUUGGGAAAAGGGUUGGCUCUAGUGCUGCGUAGGAUUUGUUGUUGGUUGUAGCUGCGGCUCUUGUCAUUUUUGCCGGAGGCUGCAAGGCGCUUUCGGGUGCUUUGCGUCACUGUGCGGGAGUGCUGGAUUCGUGGUUCCUGGCGGCGCCUACAGCAUGCAGCAAACUAGAACUGCAACGGACAAAGGGAAUCCGACUGUUUAAUUAAAACAAAGCA